This 397-nucleotide unclassified non-coding RNA is filed under the name Hevea brasiliensis (rubber tree). Lineage: Eukaryota; Viridiplantae; Streptophyta; Magnoliopsida; Malpighiales; Euphorbiaceae. The record is from RNAcentral.
GGACUUGCUGCUGGAAUGGGUUUGUAAGGCCUCCUAUCUUAUAUUCCUUCCUAUCAAUUUCUGUAAUGAAGUUGUAGGAUAAGAUCAACUCCUACAUUGUCUUUUGUGUCUCAAGAAAAGGAUUAUGUGAAAGAGAUCUAAUUUUAUUGGAGUGCAAGCCUAUAACAUCUAACAGGAUAUGCGAUCAACUAGCUGGAGAAUUUGUUGCCUUUUUAUUGUGGAAUCCUGUUCUCAUGCCAGUGAACUCUUGCAUAAAGAAAUUGAACUUUGUAAUUAGAAAUUUUGUUUUCCUUUUCAUAUAGUUAAUUUGGCCAGGUUGAGGAAUCUUUUUAUAAUAAGUUGUUCUCCUUUCUUCAUUUUUAAAUGCUUUUAGGGAUUUUGGAUGGCAGCAGCGGUA